Molecule: ribosomal RNA, 459 nt
Filed under: uncultured Glomus
Lineage: Eukaryota; Fungi; Glomeromycota; Glomeromycetes; Glomerales; Glomeraceae
Description: SSU rRNA
Rfam family: Eukaryotic small subunit ribosomal RNA
Source: RNAcentral
UUCCAGCUCCAAUAGCGUAUAUUAAAGUUGUUGCAGUUAAAAAGCUCGUAGUUGAAUUUCGGGGUUAGUAGGUUGGUCAUGCCUCUGGUAUGUACUGGUCUCACUGAUUCCUCCUUCCUGAUGAAUCUUAAUGCCAUUAAUUUGGUGUUUUGGGGAAUUUGGACUGUUACUUUGAAAAAAUUAGAGUGUUUAAAGCAAGCUAACGCUUGAAUACAUUAGCAUGGAAUAAUGAAAUAGGACGUUCGAUCCUAUUUUGUUGGUUUCUAGGAUUGACGUAAUGAUUAAUAGGGAUAGUUGGGGGCAUUAGUAUUCAAUUGUCAGAGGUGAAAUUCUUGGAUUUAUUGAAGACUAACUACUGCGAAAGCAUUUGCCAAGGAUGUUUUCAUUAAUCAAGAACGAAAGUUAGGGGAUCGAAGACGAUCAGAUACCGUCGUAGUCUUAACCAUAAACUAUGCCGAC